GAGCUAGGUGUUGCGCUAACUACAUGUUAGCGCAGUGUCGAAAGGAAGCUGUUAAGCUCACCGCCUGGGAAGUACGGUCGCAAGACUGAAACUUUAAGGAAUUGGCGGGGGAGCACCACAAGGGGUGCGGCGUGCGGUUUAAUCUAACUCAACGCAGAGAACCUUACUAGAAGCGACGGCAGGAUGAAAGUCAACUUGAAGAGUUUACUUGACAAGCCGAGAGGUGGUGCAUGGCCGCCGUCAGCUUGUGCUGUGAAGUGUCCAGCUAAGCCUGGCAACGAGCGAGACCUGUAUCCGCAAUUGCUAACAGCCACAUGUGGGACUGAGCACUUUGCGGAGACUGCCUUGGAAACAAGGAGGAAGGUGCAGGCUACGGUAGGUCUGUAUGCCCCGAAUCUUCUAGGCUACACGCGCGCAACAAUGGUUGGGACAAUGGGAUGCCACUCCGAAAGGAGAAGCUAAACCUCUAAACCCAAUCCAAGUCCAGAUCGAGGCUUGCAACUCAGCCUCGUGACGAUGGAAUCCCUAGUAAUCAGAAGUCAUCAUCUUCUGGUGAAUAUGUCCCUGCUCCUUGCACACACCGCCCGUCAAAUCAACCGA
RNAcentral lists this ribosomal RNA (600 nucleotides) under uncultured archaeon. RNAcentral describes it as "bacterial SSU rRNA". It matches the Rfam family "Archaeal small subunit ribosomal RNA", at positions 764 to 1365 of the family's 1478-position model. The record is from RNAcentral.